RNAcentral lists this ribosomal RNA (827 nucleotides) under Desulfotomaculum sp. enrichment culture clone I2. RNAcentral describes it as "bacterial SSU rRNA". It matches the Rfam family "Bacterial small subunit ribosomal RNA", at positions 8 to 839 of the family's 1533-position model. Lineage: Bacteria; Bacillati; Bacillota; Clostridia; Eubacteriales; Desulfotomaculaceae. The record is from RNAcentral.
AGAGUUUGAUUAUGGCUCAGGACGAACGCUGGCGGCGUGCUUAACACAUGCAAGUCGGACGGAGAUUAGCGAGGAGUUUACUUUUUGCUAACCUUAGUGGCGGACGGGUGAGUAACGCGUGGAUAACCUGCCUGACAGCCUGGGAUAACGCCGGGAAACUGGUGCUAAUACCGGAUACGUUCCUAUAGCUGCAUAGCUAGAGGAAGAAGGGGGAAACCCGCUGACAGAUGGGUCCGCGUCCCAUUAGCUAGUUGGAGGGGUAACGGCCCACCAAGGCGACGAUGGGUAGCCGGCCUGAGAGGGCGACCGGCCACACUGGAACUGAGACACGGUCCAGACUCCUACGGGAGGCAGCAGUGGGGAAUCUUCCGCAAUGGGCGCAAGCCUGACGGAGCAACGCCGCGUGAGUGAAGAAGGUUUUCGGAUUGUAAAACUCUGUCCAGGGGGAAGAAGCAAGUGACGGUACCCCUGGAGGAAGCCCCGGCUAACUACGUGCCAGCAGCCGCGGUAAAACGUAGGGGGCGAGCGUUGUCCGGAAUUACUGGGCGUAAAGGGCGUGUAGGCGGCAUGGCAAGUCCAUAGUGAAACCCGACGGCUCAACCGUCGGCUUGCUAUAGAAACUGCUAAGCUUGAGUGCAGGAGAGGGGAGUGGAAUUCCCAGUGUAGCGGUGAAAUGCGUAGAUAUUGGGAGGAACACCAGUGGCGAAAGCGGCUCCCUGGCCUGUAACUGACGCUGAGGCGCGAAAGCGUGGGUAGCAAACAGGAUUAGAUACCCUGGNAGUCCACGCCGUAAACGAUGGGUGCUAGGUGUUGUGGGUAUCGACCCC